RNAcentral lists this ribosomal RNA (229 nucleotides) under uncultured bacterium. RNAcentral's name for it is "partial 16S ribosomal RNA". It matches the Rfam family "Bacterial small subunit ribosomal RNA", at positions 568 to 796 of the family's 1533-position model. The record is from RNAcentral.
UGCGUAGGCGGGAUUUUAAGUCAGUGGUGAAAGUUUUCGGCUCAACCGAAAAAUUGCCAUUGAAACUGAAGUUCUUGAGUACAAAUGAGGUAGGCGGAAUGUGUUGUGUAGCGGUGAAAUGCAUAGAUAUAACACAGAACACCAAUUGCGAAGGCAGCUUACUGGGAUGUAACUGACGCUGAGGCACGAAAGCGUGGGGAUCAAACAGGAUUAGAUACCCUGGUAGUCC